GUAGGGAAUACUGCGCAAUGGGGGAAACCCUGACGCAGCGACGCCGCGUGAGUGAUGAAGGCCUUCGGGUCGUAAAGCUCUGUUGCAGGGGAAUAAAAAAAUGAAGGUACCCUGUGAGGAAGGAUCGGCUAACUUCGUGCCAGCAUCCGCGGUAAGACGAGGGAUCCUUGCGUUGCUCGGAAUCAUUGGGCGUAAAGAGGGCGUAGGUGGCUUGGUAAGUCAGGUGUGAAAGCUCAGGGAUCAACCGUGGAAGUGCAUUUGAUACUGCUGGGCUUGAAUGUAGGAGAGGUUACCGGAAUACCAGGUGUAGUGGUGAAAUACGUAGAUAACAGGUGGAACACCGGAGGCGAAGGCGGGUAACUGGACGAACACUGACACUGAGGUCCGAAAGCGUGGGGAUCAAACAGAAUUAGAUACCCCGGUAGUCC
Molecule: ribosomal RNA, 428 nt
Filed under: uncultured bacterium
Lineage: Bacteria
Description: partial 16S ribosomal RNA
Rfam family: Bacterial small subunit ribosomal RNA
Source: RNAcentral